Molecule: ribosomal RNA, 468 nt
Filed under: uncultured bacterium
Lineage: Bacteria
Description: partial 16S ribosomal RNA
Rfam family: Bacterial small subunit ribosomal RNA
Source: RNAcentral
ACGAACGCUGGCGGCGUGCUUAACACAUGCAAGUCGAACGGUGAAGCGAGUGCUUGCACUCGUGGAUCAGUGGCGAACGGGUGAGUAACACGUGAGUAACCUGCCCAUCACUCUGGGAUAAGCACUGGAAACGGUGUCUAAUACUGGAUACGACCAACCCUUGCAUGGGGUGUUGGUGGAAAGAUUUAUCGGUGAUGGAUGGACUCGCGGCCUAUCAGCUUGUUGGCGGGGUAAUGGCCCACCAAGGCGACGACGGGUAGCCGGCCUGAGAGGGUGACCGGCCACACUGGGACUGAGACACGGCCCAGACUCCUACGGGAGGCAGCAGUGGGGAAUAUUGCACAAUGGGCGAAAGCCUGAUGCAGCGACGCCGCGUGAGGGAUGACGGCCUUCGGGUUGUAAACCCCUUUCAGCAGGGAAGAAGCGAAAGUGACGGUACCUGCAGAAGAAGCACCGGCUAACUACGUG